RNAcentral lists this unclassified non-coding RNA (1218 nucleotides) under Leishmania donovani. Its description in RNAcentral is "gene:unknown". The record is from RNAcentral. Lineage: Eukaryota; Euglenozoa; Kinetoplastea; Trypanosomatida; Trypanosomatidae.
CGAUGCAGACGUGUAUACACACUCACACUCGCACUCCAGUGAGUCGCCCUGUGCUUCUUGUUUUUCUGUUCACAUUGCAUAUCUUCCGUGCCAGGUAUCACAUCUUUUCGCUUGAAAGUGUGCGUGCGGGCGUAGAAGGAGAUGCCUGUGGAGGUUGCAACGCGUAUUUACACAUGUGUAUCCACGUGCACUCACGCUGCGCACAACGCGCACGAAGCGUUUACCAAGCGCGUUUCGCAGGGUUAGUGGGGGCGGGGCUGGCGAAUUGAAGGUGGCGCCACCGGUGACAAAAGGAACAGCAGCAAACUUGUCAUCCCCGUUGCUCGCUCGUUCUCGUCGUUUUUCCCCUGUUUUCAUGCUGCAUCGUGCUGUGUGUGCGCAAGCGAGUGUGGUUCAGGCUGUUUGUAUACAUGUGUGCUUCUUUUCUGCCACAUUUUAUGAAUAAUGGAUGAGAGCCUCAGGGGUACUCCUUCCUCCUUUUCGGUGUGUGUGCAUGUGAGAAGAUACUUGUCUAGGUCCUCUUCUUCUUCCUCUUUUCUCUGUUUUUUAUUUUCUUGCGCUGGUCCCCCUUGAAGGGUGCUUCUACGAAUGCCAGGAAAACCGAGCGCAUGGAUCAAGUGACAGCUGCAUCUGCCGCAUCUUGUAUAGUUUCUCUCUCGCACGCGGGGUCUUUCGUAGCAAACCGAACGCAACAAAGAGCCUCUCCUUCUUACGAGAAAGGAAGAGAUGCAGGGAAGCAGAAUUGGGACAGACCGUAAAGUUUGCAGGUAAAACCGAACGAAGUGUAGCAGCCAUGCACACGAACAUCAAACACUUUUGAAGACAAAGGUAACGGCAAACCAAGGCCUUUCUUCUCUCUUCCCUUUUGUGCUCCUCUCUCACUUUCCAUUCUCGACGACUAUAAACAUGCUGCUGUUUUUCUCCGGUGCUCCCUUCCUCUUUUUUUUUUCACUGCGUGCGUGUAUUUCACCUUUUUGUUUCUCUACAUCAUCACGGGCCACUUUUCACCUUGUUCUCUCUUCUCUGUGCGCCUCCUCAUGCCCCUCUCUCUCCAGCCAGGGCACUAUCAUGUAUCUGCCCAGUGAACCUUUGUAAAUGCAGCGCCCUCAUGAUCACCGAUAUUAUAUGCCCCACAUGGAACUCUGGAAGUGGCAACGAAAAGAAAUAUAUGUGACGUACACGUAACUGGCUUCGAGGAUGUGAGCAUGGCCCCUUUUC